Long non-coding RNA from Magnolia sinica, 661 nucleotides. RefSeq lists it as uncharacterized. The record is from RefSeq and is a predicted model, not a curated record. The transcript has 4 exons. Lineage: Eukaryota; Viridiplantae; Streptophyta; Magnoliopsida; Magnoliales; Magnoliaceae.
AUUCUUGUUAUGGUAACCUAUCAAUUGUAUGCUGUGUGUUUGAUGCAAUCAUGCAUGCAUCUGGCAACUGAAUUGGGAAGGAGAUAAUGAGAUUCUUAUUAUUUAAUUUCAGCUUUGCUAUUUCUCUCUAACCAUAGAGGAUCUUCUUAGUAUCAUGCAUCUCCAAGGUUUUCCAUUUCCAUUGCUUACAGGAUUAUGUUGCAACAAGAUGGUAUAAAGCUCCUGAAUUGUGUGGAUCCUUUUUGCUGUAAUGUGCAUGAAUUUUUGUUGGCUAGGUAUGUGGAAUCAAUUUGAUAAUGCACUAACCUUUGCUCUAUCCUUUGGGACCUAAAAGAGCUUUCUUUGCGAGGGAUAUUGGCCCCAGAGCUUGGGAAACUUAGCCACUUGAGAGCUCUGCCGCUGGUGAUCUGUCAGUAAAAAUUGGGGCCAUACUAUUGUGGUGAUGGAGCUGACAAGGCAUUUGGACGAUGACUGCUCCUAUUAUACUUACAAUCGGUGAUCUGUUGUAUUCUGAAAUUUGUUUAUUUAGAAAUGUGAAUGUAGGAUGCAUUGUAUGUUUUGAUUGCUAUUUGUAAUAUGAAUGCAUCCUUUUCUUUUCUGAUUGCAUUUUAUGUACUAUUUCUAGCAGCAUUAAUUGUAUUAGCUUAGUUGAGCUGAUCAA